Fukomys damarensis (Damara mole-rat) is the source of this 1561-nucleotide long non-coding RNA. RefSeq lists it as uncharacterized. NCBI's taxonomy places the organism in Eukaryota, Metazoa, Chordata, Mammalia, Rodentia, Bathyergidae. The transcript has 6 exons. The record is from RefSeq and is a predicted model, not a curated record.
AUGGCGUCGGCUGUAGACGCACCUUGCCCGCGGGUGGGGCGGCAGUCCGCAUCCCGGAGGCUGGAAGCGAGCUUGGGCUGGUCGUGAGUUUUCCCUUGCCUCGAGUUAACCCUGAGGCACGUCUCCCGGACUGGGAGAAACGCGCUGCCCGUGUCUCGCCCUUUCCUUCGCGUCCCGUGACUGCCCCGAGGGCGCAGACGCGUGGUCCGAGAACCUGGGGGUUCGCUCCUGGAGGCGUAGGGACAGGUCAGACGCCAGAGCCACGGUCGGUGACAGCGAGGGGACGAGGAGGCUCUGCCGCGACCCUACCCUCAGACUUCUUUCUCCCGACUCUUGGAAGAAGCACCCGGUAGCUAGAGCCAGGCCUCUCCCGAGAACGCAAGCGCGGAGUCCCAGGGCAGGCUUCUAAUGUGAGGAAAAACACGGAAUGACAAGUGUGGGAAAGAGCAAGCACUAAAUUACUGUCAGAAAAAUAAACGGAGUAGCACAGUGGUGCUCAGUGAUUUACGGGGGCAAUUAGUCACCACCCCACGGCACUGCUGAGGACAGCAUGGCAGCAGACACGUCAGGCCCAUGAGGAAGAAGAGGCUUUGCGCUGCUCUCCAGACAACUUUUCAAACAACACAAGAAUCUGAGUACAUUAGGUUCCAUGUCUUCAGUCUGGGGUCUGGAUCAAUGUCUCUCCUGGAAAUCAAGCUAGCAGGGACUCAUCUCUCCACGUUUCAUUACAGUGUUCAUCUUCAAUACAGAAGAAACGAUUCAAUGCUUCCCCAGUCAACAUUCUACCAGUUUGUUUAGUGUGGUCAUCAGGAAGUUGAUUCUACAGUUUAUAUGGAAAAACUUAGAAUGUCCAACACAAUAUUGAAGAAGAACCAAGUUGGAAGACCAACACAUCCUGAAUUCAGAACUUGCUAUAAAGCAGUCUGACGAAACUAGAGCUUCCACAAGGCGCGAAAAUUGAAAAGCAACAUGGACUGCGAUAGGACAAUGAAGAUUCCUGCUAGGAAGAAGUCCUUGGCCUCCCGCUCUAUAAAUACCCCAGCACUUCCUCUUCGCUCUCUCGCUGUCUUCCUGCCUCCUGCUCACCUCCCUACAAUAAAGAUCUCCUGCCAGACCUCUCGGUCAUCUGCCUUCAAUCCUGAGGUCAUCACUCUUCAAGAGAGGAUAAUCCCAGGGACAGCAGGAUCUGCUUCAUCACUUGGAUUUAGGAGUAAGGAACCCCUCAGGCAGCUAAACACUAACAAUGACCCACCAUUAAGCACACUGAGAGAAGAGCAGGACAAGGAGUCCGGUGCAAGAAGAAUCCAGAAGCACCUGCUGACAAUGCCUAUGGGGGUCACAGAGCACUGUGAGCUCUGCUCAUUGAACUGCAAUGAAAACUCUUUCUCCUCCUGAGACCCUUGGGUGUGGGUACAGUAACCGUGCAGAUGGCAGUCAAUGCAUGAACUCAACAGACUGAAAAGAAACUGGACUAAGGAGUCAAGAUAGACCUGGGUUUCACUGGGCACUGCGGUGCACACCUGGGGCUGAGGUAGGAGGAUCACAAAUUUCAGCCUGUGGA